Molecule: ribosomal RNA, 1367 nt
Filed under: uncultured bacterium
Lineage: Bacteria
Description: 16S ribosomal RNA
Rfam family: Bacterial small subunit ribosomal RNA
Source: RNAcentral
ACGCUGGCGGCGUGCCUAAUACAUGCAAGUCGAGCGAACGGACGAGAAGCUUGCUUCUCUGAUGUUAGCGGCGGACGGGUGAGUAACACGUGGAUAACCUACCUAUAAGACUGGGAUAACUUCGGGAAACCGGAGCUAAUACCGGAUAAUAUUUUGAACCGCAUGGUUCAAAAGUGAAAGACGGUCUUGCUGUCACUUAUAGAUGGAUCCGCGCUGCAUUAGCUAGUUGGUAAGGUAACGGCUUACCAAGGCAACGAUGCAUAGCCGACCUGAGAGGGUGAUCGGCCACACUGGAACUGAGACACGGUCCAGACUCCUACGGGAGGCAGCAGUAGGGAAUCUUCCGCAAUGGGCGAAAGCCUGACGGAGCAACGCCGCGUGAGUGAUGAAGGUCUUCGGAUCGUAAAACUCUGUUAUUAGGGAAGAACAUAUGUGUAAGUAACUGUGCACAUCUUGACGGUACCUAAUCAGAAAGCCACGGCUAACUACGUGCCAGCAGCCGCGGUAAUACGUAGGUGGCAAGCGUUAUCCGGAAUUAUUGGGCGUAAAGCGCGCGUAGGCGGUUUUUUAAGUCUGAUGUGAAAGCCCACGGCUCAACCGUGGAGGGUCAUUGGAAACUGGAAAACUUGAGUGCAGAAGAGGAAAGUGGAAUUCCAUGUGUAGCGGUGAAAUGCGCAGAGAUAUGGAGGAACACCAGUGGCGAAGGCGACUUUCUGGUCUGUAACUGACGCUGAUGUGCGAAAGCGUGGGGAUCAAACAGGAUUAGAUACCCUGGUAGUCCACGCCGUAAACGAUGAGUGCUAAGUGUUAGGGGGUUUCCGCCCCUUAGUGCUGCAGCUAACGCAUUAAGCACUCCGCCUGGGGAGUACGACCGCAAGGUUGAAACUCAAAGGAAUUGACGGGGACCCGCACAAGCGGUGGAGCAUGUGGUUUAAUUCGAAGCAACGCGAAGAACCUUACCAAAUCUUGACAUCCUUUGACAACUCUAGAGAUAGAGCUUUCCCCUUCGGGGGACAAAGUGACAGGUGGUGCAUGGUUGUCGUCAGCUCGUGUCGUGAGAUGUUGGGUUAAGUCCCGCAACGAGCGCAACCCUUAAGCUUAGUUGCCAUCAUUAAGUUGGGCACUCUAAGUUGACUGCCGGUGACAAACCGGAGGAAGGUGGGGAUGACGUCAAAUCAUCAUGCCCCUUAUGAUUUGGGCUACACACGUGCUACAAUGGACAAUACAAAGGGCAGCGAAACCGCGAGGUCAAGCAAAUCCCAUAAAGUUGUUCUCAGUUCGGAUUGUAGUCUGCAACUCGACUACAUGAAGCUGGAAUCGCUAGUAAUCGUAGAUCAGCAUGCUACGGUGAAUACGUUCCCGGGUCU